This 22-nucleotide non-coding RNA is filed under the name Arabidopsis thaliana (thale cress). The record is from RNAcentral. Lineage: Eukaryota; Viridiplantae; Streptophyta; Magnoliopsida; Brassicales; Brassicaceae.
AAAGAUGGUCUCAAUUAUCGUG